Molecule: ribosomal RNA, 253 nt
Filed under: uncultured bacterium
Lineage: Bacteria
Description: partial 16S ribosomal RNA
Rfam family: Bacterial small subunit ribosomal RNA
Source: RNAcentral
UACGUAGGGGGCAAGCGUUGUCCGGAUUUAUUGGGCGUAAAGAGCGUGUAGGCGGCUUUACAGGUCCGUUGUGAAAACUCGAGGCUCAACCUCGAGACGCCGGUGGAAACCGUAAAGCUAGAGUCCGGAAGAGGAGAGUGGAAUUCCUGGUGUAGCGGUGAAAUGCGCAGAUAUCAGGAGGAACACCCGUGGCGAAAGCGGCUCUCUGGGACGGUACUGACGCUGAGACGCGAAAGCGUGGGGAGCGAACGGG